AAGCAGGAUUCCGACUAGAAUACAGCUGUUAAGUGCUGUGCGUCAUUCCCCCUGCUCAAAAUAAAGUUGUGGGUUCUUACCUAUAUCUGUCUGCUCUACCCCUGUAGCAACCAGGGCACUUGGUCUCAUACAU
This is a small nucleolar RNA of Sciurus carolinensis (gray squirrel), 133 nucleotides long. RefSeq annotates it as small nucleolar RNA SNORA63. Lineage: Eukaryota; Metazoa; Chordata; Mammalia; Rodentia; Sciuridae. The record is from RefSeq and is a predicted model, not a curated record. The transcript has a single exon.